This 363-nucleotide unclassified non-coding RNA is filed under the name Hevea brasiliensis (rubber tree). The record is from RNAcentral. Lineage: Eukaryota; Viridiplantae; Streptophyta; Magnoliopsida; Malpighiales; Euphorbiaceae.
GAGGGUAAAACAGACUUUUAUGAGAAGUAUGUAUGCCUAGCUUCUUGGCUGAGAUGGACAAUCAAAUAGAUUCUAUUUAUUCCAGAGCUUAUAUGUGCUCUUGCUUCCACAAACUUCUGGGUGUAGCAAACAUGAUUUUAAGAAGGAACUCAGAUUUAUGAUAUAGAUUUGACAUUGAGGUUUAAUUGGUGAUCUGGGAUAUUAUAGAGUAAUUUUCGGACUUUAAUCCUUUUACACUGCUCUAUAUAAGCUUGUUUUAAUAAAUCAGUUGCUGGCCUUUUUUAUUUUAUAACUUUAGGAUUUAGACUUCAUUUGGCAGCAAAUCAAUAAGAAUUCAUUUCAUAUGUAAUUGAACCCUCAUAU